Molecule: ribosomal RNA, 164 nt
Filed under: uncultured bacterium
Lineage: Bacteria
Description: partial 16S rRNA
Rfam family: Bacterial small subunit ribosomal RNA
Source: RNAcentral
UAGGGAAUCUUCCACAAUGGACGCAAGUCUGACGGAGCAACGCCGCGUGAGUGAAGAAGAUCUUCGGAUCGUAAAACUCUGUUGUUAGAGAAGAACACGAGUGAGAGUAACUGUUCAUUCGAUGACGGUAUCUAACCAGCAAGUCACGGCUAACUACGUGCCCG